AUGCUGUGGAGAAAUGUCAGAGAGAAUGUCAAGUGGUGUGUUAGCUGUGUGUGUGUGUGUGUGUGUGUGUGUGUGUGUGAGAGAGAGAGAGAGAGAGAGAGAGAGAGUGAGAGAGAUCACACCAGAAGAAUAAGAGUGUCCCAAAAACCGCCCAGGUGAGGAGUCCACUAACGGCUUUGGUGGAGGUGACAAUCUUCUGCUUGCAGUAGCCACAUGUCAUUGAUACAGAAAUCUUACCCACAGCAGUAGGACCCUGGACAACUACAGGGGGCGGAGCUUGUUCAAUGACGACUUGUGGAGGUGCAGCCUGGAAGACUACAGGAGGCGGAGCUUGUUCAAUGAUGACAGGUGGAGGUGGAGCCUGGAAGACUACAGGAGGCGGAGCUUGUUCAAUGAUGACAGGUUGUGCAGGGACAUCAAUAACGAACGCCAUACUGUGUGGAAGAAGAGGCGGAGACUAAUGUGCACUGAUUCUGCUGCAGCUGUGGGGAAAGAUGACGGAAAAUCUAAAUAACAUUGAAAAUCUGUCUAAAUAUUAUAGAUUUGAAUUUAAGGCACAUGAUCUGCAUUGUGCUCAUCACAUGUCUUUCACACUAGUGUCCAUGAAGACAUCUGAAGACAUGUGGCAGAGAAUUCAGCUGUGAACUCAGAUGAGCUGAAAUCUCAUCCCAUCCACAGUUCCCCUCAUCUCUCUGCGCAGGUUUAAUGAAAUACGUUUGCUGACACUUCAUGAUUCACCGCUGCACAGAUUUAUAAGGUGAAAACUUACCUGUGUGCUGAGCGUCGAUCCUCUCUGAGUGUCGCUGCUCAGACUGAAUCCCACUUAGACGUCACCAGCGUUAUUACACUGCAAAAAAGAGAAACAGAAGACAGAAGGACUAAAGAAAAAAAGAUGGUCAAACUAACACCACCUCCUUAGCACUGAUACCAUCAAUGAUAUCAUCAACCACCAUCAACCAUGC
Molecule: long non-coding RNA, 962 nt
Organism: Tachysurus vachellii
Lineage: Eukaryota; Metazoa; Chordata; Actinopteri; Siluriformes; Bagridae
Exons: 3
Source: RefSeq, a predicted model, not a curated record